Molecule: unclassified non-coding RNA, 535 nt
Filed under: Hevea brasiliensis (rubber tree)
Lineage: Eukaryota; Viridiplantae; Streptophyta; Magnoliopsida; Malpighiales; Euphorbiaceae
Source: RNAcentral
ACUUGUGCAAUUCUAAUGCAACAAUAAAAAAAAGCAAUAUUCAUGAUUUCAUUGGGAAGCAAGCACGCAAGGUUCAAAAAGGUAGAGAAUUUAAGGCAAAAUUACAGAAGAUCACGUCUUAGCUGUUGUCUUAAAGACCAAUAAUAAAUAUUUGGAUAAGAAUCAAUUAGAUGAAUAAAAUGUUAACAAGAGACAUGAAUGUAGGUUGCUCAAAAUCUAUCUUAUUCGCCCAAAAAAGGGGAGGGGAUGAAAAGAAAAUAUAAAUUGAAAUCCCAAUGCAUACGAGAAAAUUGCAAAUACAAGAACCAAGAACAACCAACGCAAUCAAAUAGGAAAAAUUUAUAAAUUUUUUUUUUAAUUUUAAAAAUAUUAAAUUAAUUGUUGGACAAGGCUUCUCCUCUGAGCACCUCAUUAUACUUUCCCGGGAUGUAAAAAGGAGAUUAAAAUGUUUUUAGACUUUGGCACAAUAUUUUCUGAGCAAACAAACAGAUUGGAAUGCAAAAGUAUUACCAUGAUCCAACCAAAGAGAGCCGCU